This is a non-coding RNA of Stegodyphus mimosarum, 73 nucleotides long. Lineage: Eukaryota; Metazoa; Arthropoda; Arachnida; Araneae; Eresidae. The record is from Rfam.
GCCUUCGUGGUGUAGUGGUCAGCACGCUCGACGCGUAACCGACAGGCCCGUGGUUCGAUUCCCGGCGAAGGCG